This 1390-nucleotide ribosomal RNA is filed under the name Candidatus Phytoplasma citri. RNAcentral describes it as "bacterial SSU rRNA". It matches the Rfam family "Bacterial small subunit ribosomal RNA". Lineage: Bacteria; Bacillati; Mycoplasmatota; Mollicutes; Acholeplasmatales; Acholeplasmataceae. The record is from RNAcentral.
GGAACCUUCGGGUUUUAGUGGCGAACGGGUGAGUAACACGUAAGCAACCUACCCUAAAGACGAGGAUAACCAUUGGAAACAGUGGCUAAGACUGGAUAGGAAGAUAAAAGGCAUCUUUUAUCUUUUAAAAGACCUAGUAAUAGGUAUGCUUUAGGAGGGGCUUGCGCCAUAUUAGUUAGUUGGUAGGGUAAUGGCCUACCAAGACGAUGAUGUGUAGCUGGACUGAGAGGUUGAACAGCCACAUUGGGACUGAGACACGGCCCAAACUCCUACGGGAGGCAGCAGUAGGGAAUUUUCGGCAAUGGAGGAAACUCUGACCGAGCAACGCCGCGUGAAUGACGAAGUACUUCGGUAUGUAAAGUUCUUUUAUCAAGGAAGAAAAGCAAAUGGCGAACCAUUUGUUUGCCGGUACUUGAUGAAUAAGCCCCGGCUAAUUAUGUGCCAGCAGCCGCGGUAAGACAUAAGGGGCAAGUGUUAUCCGGAAUUAUUGGGCGUAAAGGGUGCGUAGGCGGUCUAGUAAGUCAGUGGUGUAAUGGCAACGCUUAACGUUGUCCGGCUAUUGAAACUGCUAAACUUGAGUUAGAUAGAGGCGAGUGGAAUUCCAUGUGUAGCGGUAAAAUGCGUAAAUAUAUGGAGGAACACCAGAGGCGUAGGCGGCUCGCCUGGGUCUUAACUGACGCUGAGGCACGAAAGCGUGGGGAGCAAACAGGAUUAGAUACCCUGGUAGUCCACGCCGUAAACGAUGAGUACUAAGUGUCGGGUUAAACCGGUACUGAAGUUAACACAUUAAGUACUCCGCCUGAGUAGUACGUACGCAAGUAUGAAACUUAAAGGAAUUGACGGGACUCCGCACAAGCGGUGGAUCAUGUUGUUUAAUUCGAAGAUACCCGAAAAACCUUACCAGGUCUUGACAUGUUUUUGCAAAAUGAUAGUAAUAUCGUGGAGGUUACCAGAAACACAGGUGGUGCAUGGUUGUCGUCAGCUCGUGUCGUGAGAUGUUAGGUUAAGUCCUAAAACGAGCGAAACCCUUAUCGUUAGUUGCCAGCACGUUAUGGUGGGGACUUUAACGAGACUGCCAAUGAUAAAUUGGAGGAAGGUGAGGAUCACGUCAAAUCAGCAUGCCCCUUAUGACCUGGGCUACAAACGUGAUACAAUGGCUGUUACAAAGGGUAGCUGAAACGCAAGUUCUUGGCCAAUCCCCAAAAACAGUCCCAGUCCGGAUUGAAGUCUGCAACUCGACUUCAUGAAGUUGGAAUCGCUAGUAAUCGCGAAUCAGCAUGUCGCGGUGAAUACGUUCUCGGGGUUUGUACACACCGCCCGUCAAACCACGAAAGUUGGCAAUACCCCAAAACGGUAGCCUAACUCGUUUAUUCGAGAGGGCGCCGUCUAA